RNAcentral lists this unclassified non-coding RNA (449 nucleotides) under uncultured Glomus. RNAcentral describes it as "SSU rRNA". It matches the Rfam family "Eukaryotic small subunit ribosomal RNA", at positions 569 to 1026 of the family's 1831-position model. Lineage: Eukaryota; Fungi; Glomeromycota; Glomeromycetes; Glomerales; Glomeraceae. The record is from RNAcentral.
AGCAGCCGCGGUAAUUCCAGCUCCAAUAGCGUAUAUUAAAGUUGUUGCAGUUAAAAGCUCGUAGUUGAAUUUCGGGAUCAAUGCGUCGGUCGUGCCUUCAGUACGUACUAGCGUCAUUGAUUCCUCCCUUCUGAAGAACCGUGAUGUCAUUAAUUUGGUGUUACGGGGAAUCAGGACUGUUACCUUGAAAAAUUGGAGUGUUUAAAGCAGGCUAACGCUUGAAUACAUUAGCAUGGAAUAAUGAAAUAGGACGUUCGAACCUAUUUUGUUGGUUUUAGGAUCGACGUAAUGAUUAAUAGGGAUAGUUGGGGGCAUUAGUAUUCAAUUGUCAGAGGUGAAAUUCUUGGAUUUAUUGAAGACUGACUACUGCGAAAGCAUUUGCCAAGGAUGUUUUCAUUAAUCAAGAACGAAAGUUAGGGAUCGAAGACGAUCAGAUACCGUCGUAGUCU